GUCCACGCCGUAAACGAUGAAUGCUAGCCGUCGGUGGGCAUGCCCUUCGGUGGCGCAGCUAACGCAAUAAGCAUUCCGCCUGGGGAGUACGAUCGCAAGAUUAAAACUCAAAGGAAUUGACGGGGGCCCGCACAAGCGGUGGAGCAUGUGGUUCAAUUCGAAGCAACGCGAAGAACCUUACCAGGCCUUGACAUCCCGGUCGCGGCCCCUUGAAAGAGGGGCCUUCAGUUCGGCUGGACCGGUGACAGGUGCUGCAUGGCUGUCGU
Molecule: ribosomal RNA, 266 nt
Filed under: uncultured bacterium
Lineage: Bacteria
Description: partial 16S ribosomal RNA
Rfam family: Bacterial small subunit ribosomal RNA
Source: RNAcentral